Long non-coding RNA from Crotalus tigris (Tiger rattlesnake), 2049 nucleotides. RefSeq lists it as uncharacterized. The record is from RefSeq and is a predicted model, not a curated record. NCBI's taxonomy places the organism in Eukaryota, Metazoa, Chordata, Lepidosauria, Squamata, Viperidae. The transcript is spliced from 2 exons.
UCUUCUGACUCCACUUCCGGAUAGGAUGACCAUAGAUUGGAUUCCUAGACUCAUACGCAUUACCUUCUCUCUCCCUCCCUCUUCGGAGGAUGGCUCAUAGCAAGGCAUGUUUAAACUCAGAAUUAUUAUUAUUUUUUUACUUUUAGAAUGAGGACAGCAGAAUUGUCAGAAGUAAAUCUUCAUCCUGGUUCAUCCAAGCCGGGAAUAAAUAGGCAACAUGGAGACUGCUUUGGGAAGAAGGUUACAGUUUAUUGAAGAAGCAGAAAGAUGGUCCUUGCAGGAAGGAGCAGAGGAGAGGAAAGAGAGAGUGAGCACAUAGGCAGUUGACACUGUUUCAUCAGGGACAGACAUGGAACAAUUGUAUAAACACGUGUGGUCGGAUGUUUUAAAAUUCCACCUCCUUUUCCCAUUGAGAUAUCUAUUUAAAAAAAACAAACACAAGAUUGCAUGGUGAAUUAGAUACUGCAUCAGGAUUGUGAUGACCACGGCUAUUUGGGGACACGAUUCUUCUCCACCAAAGGAGGAUUUGAAGGAGAUUAGAUCUCUAUAGUGCUAGGAUAAAAGGAGCCCAUCUGGAAUCAAUGCAAAUAUACAGACGUCUAUCUCUUUUUCAGAAUAAUGACAGCUUUUGCUAUCAGGCUUUUGCAAUCAACAUAGUCCAACAAAUAAAAGCACUCUACAAAUCGAAGAAUGUACAGGAAUGUCUCUUAAUCUUGUCAACAUUACGAUAGGUGGAUUUCAACUUACAGAAUUCCAAGUAAGUUGUUUUCUUGCAGAACUUUCUCGUUACCCAAUUAGGUAACAUCAUACCUGAGGAUCACCAUUCCUGUCAGAGCACCAUAUAACACCAUCAGAGCAGUGAUGACGUUAUCUAACUGGAUCAGGAAACGUCUGCAAGAAAACCACCAAGCUGUGAGAGCAACAAGGACUCCACAAUGCUAGUUUAAUUGACAUGCAUUGGAGAGGUGCCUGAGAUCAACCCAGCCGCUUAAAACAAACCCAUCUUAUCUGCAUCUGAACGCUCCCCUUCUCAACAGAUGCUCAACCCCAUUUCGUAGACUCGACAGAUCCUUGAAAAGAGUGGAACCACACAAGGGAACAAAGCAGAAAAGUCUGCAAAUGAGGAAAAACAAAAGUCAAGACUCAGCGCAGAUUAAAAAGGGGUGGAACUUUCUUUGCAAAGUUACCUUGAUUUUUAUUUAUUUAUUUUUGACCACCUCCCUGCGGAUGCUCUUGAAAGGAGGGGAGCUAAUAUUUUGCAAGGAAGUCAGAGCAACACAUUAGCCGCUUGGCUGCUUCCAAAGAAAGAUGAACCUGCUUUUUAAGAACUUAAAACCUAGAAACGUGGAGCCGGAUCAUUUCGGAGAGCAAAAAUACAGCCAGGUCCUCACGGAAGGACGAGCUGGGUUGGAAAACCAAUCCUAAAAUCCACAUUGCAAGGUGGUUUAGUCUUCAGCAGACAUCCUUUUAAGGAAGGCCUGCUUUUUAAGUAUUGUUCACUCUGACGAUCAAGACGUUUCGUAAAAUGUGAAUUUGCUGAGGCUUGAAAGGGAGCGACCUAUGAAAGGGACAGGAGAGAGAGGAUGAAAAUAUCCAAGACAGAGUUAAGCUGUCUUGGUUUCCAUCUUGAUAAAUGUGGCCUUCCCAAGAAUGUGAAAUGAGCCCAUUUUUAACCCGGUUUCUUCCCCGGCCCUUAGCUGCUGGGGUUAUUGCUUCAGCUUCAAGAGAGAGAAAGUGGAGAGGGGAAGGACAAGAAGCCAGCAAUCCACUAUACUGCAGGGAGAAUCGGCGUCAGGGUAUGCAAAAUAUUUUUCCUAGAAGCAACAACCAAGGAUGGAUGAAAUGCUCAAGGUUUCCCUCUCACUGCCCUCCAGGGCUCCGAUGUGGCUAGAAAAAUCAUAAUCACCACGAGAAAUGCCGCAAAACACCACCGUGCACAGUUUCACCAAAGAGAGAGAAAGAGAGAGAGAGAAAUGAGCAAACACACAAGUACAGGCACCACAGCACAACACAACUGUCCUGCAGGGCAACAAGCUUCAGAGGAGGAGG